Molecule: non-coding RNA, 137 nt
Organism: Gossypium arboreum
Lineage: Eukaryota; Viridiplantae; Streptophyta; Magnoliopsida; Malvales; Malvaceae
Source: Rfam
UGUUAAAAAUUUCAUUCAUUUGUACUAUUAAAAACUAGAUGAAAAACCAAACAGUGAGAUGUGACAUGCCAUGUGUAUUUUAUGUUGAUAUACAGGGACCAAUUUUCAACAGAAAAAAAAGGAUGAAAUUUUUAACA